GCCAGCAGCCGCGGGAACACCGGCGGCCCGAGUGGUGAUCGUGAUUAUUGGGUCUAAAGGGUCCGUAGCCGGUUUGGUCAGUCCUCCGGGAAAUCUGAUAGCUCAACUAUUAGGCUUUCGGGGGAUACUGCCAGACUUGGAACCGGGAGAGGUAAGAGGUACUACAGGGGUAGGAGUGAAAUCUUGUAAUCCCUGUGGGACCACCUGUGGCGAAGGCGUCUUACCAGAACGGGUUCGACGGUGAGGGACGAAAGCUGGGGGCACGAACCGGAUUAGAUACCCGGGUAGUCCCAGCCGUAAACGAUGCUCGCUAGGUGUCAGGCAUGGCGCGACCGUGUCUGGUGCCGCAGGGAAGCCGUGAAGCGAGCCACCUGGGAAGUACGGCCGCAAGGCUGAAACUUAAAGGAAUUGGCGGGGGAGCACAACAACGGGUGGAGCCCUGCGGUUUAAUUGGACUCAACGCCGGACAACUCACCGGGGGCGACAGCAAUAUGUAGGCCAAGCUGAAGACUUUGCCUGAAUCGCUGAGAGGUGGUGCAUGG
Molecule: ribosomal RNA, 542 nt
Filed under: uncultured archaeon
Lineage: Archaea
Description: bacterial SSU rRNA
Rfam family: Archaeal small subunit ribosomal RNA
Source: RNAcentral